Molecule: ribosomal RNA, 406 nt
Filed under: uncultured bacterium
Lineage: Bacteria
Description: partial 16S ribosomal RNA
Rfam family: Bacterial small subunit ribosomal RNA
Source: RNAcentral
AUUGAACGCUGGCGGCAGGCCUAACACAUGCAAGUCGAACGAGUGGCGGACGGGUGAGUAAUGUCUGGGAAACUGCCUGAUGGAGGGGGAACACUACUGGAAACGGUAGCUAAUACCGCAUUCUAUCAGAUGUGCCCAGAUGGGAUUCGCUUGUUGGUGGGGUAACGGCUCACCAAGGCGACGACCCCUAGCUGGUCUGAGAGGAUGACCAGCCACACUGGGACUGAGACACGGUCCAGACUCCUACGGGAGGCAGCAGUGGGGAAUAUUGCACAAUGGGCGCAAGCCUGAUGCAGCCAUGCCGCGUGUAUGAAGAAGGCCUUCGGGUUGUAAAGUACUUUCAGCGGGGAGGCGUUACCCGCAGAAGAAGCACCGGCUAACUCCGUGCCAGCAGCCGCGGUAAUUC